This 390-nucleotide long non-coding RNA is filed under the name Dromaius novaehollandiae (emu). RNAcentral's name for it is "lncRNA (ENSDNVG00000016704.1)". Lineage: Eukaryota; Metazoa; Chordata; Aves; Casuariiformes; Dromaiidae. The record is from RNAcentral.
AAGAUAAUGGAUUUCCUUGUUUUCUUUAGGGAUAUGAAGUCAAUUUUCCCUGUUGGAGAUUGAAAUGCAAACCUUAGGGACUUGACCUUAAAGGCUACAAAACAAAGAUCACUUACCCACUCAGUUUUUCUUCUGCCGCUUGGACUUUCACAUCAUUAAGUUUUAGGAAACUCUGCAUGAUUUCACUCUCAAGGUAUCCCUCAUGACAAAAGCUGAAGACAGGAUUCCCUUCUAAUAGGGAAGGAGCUCUGUCCUGGAAAGCAUCUGUUGGCAGCAAGAAAUAAGAGCUCUGCCAAUGCACUCACUUUUUAAAGAAUGGCAAAUGUCCAAACCAGAUUCUGCCACUUGAGGACAAGAUGAUAUCAAGUCAGUGGCAUAAACAGAUUGUGG